GUAGGGGGCAAGCGUUGUCCGGAAUCAUUGGGCGUAAAGCGCGCGUAGGCGGCCCGGUAAGUCCGCUCUGAAAGUCAGGGGCUCAACCCUUGAAUGCGGGUGGAUACUGCCGGGCUAGAGUCCGGAAGAGGCGAGUGGAAUUCCUGGUGUAGCGGUGGAAUGCGCAGAUAUCAGGAGGAACACCGAUAGCGAAGGCAGCUCGCUGGGACGGUACUGACGCUGAGGCGCGAAAGCGUGGGGAGCGAACAGGAUUAGAUCCCCUGGUAGUCCACGCCGUAAACGAUGGGCAUUAGGUGUGGGAGGUGUCGACUCCUCCCGUGCCGCCGCUAACGCAUUAAAUGCCCCGCCUGGGGAGUACGGCCGCAAGGCUAAA
This 373-nucleotide ribosomal RNA is filed under the name uncultured bacterium. RNAcentral's name for it is "bacterial SSU rRNA". It matches the Rfam family "Bacterial small subunit ribosomal RNA", at positions 527 to 898 of the family's 1533-position model. The record is from RNAcentral.